This 75-nucleotide transfer RNA is filed under the name Candidatus Paracaedibacteraceae bacterium. RNAcentral's name for it is "tRNA-Thr". It matches the Rfam family "tRNA". From Rfam's summary of the family: Transfer RNA (tRNA) molecules are approximately 80 nucleotides in length. Their secondary structure includes four short double-helical elements and three loops (D, anti-codon, and T loops). The record is from RNAcentral. Lineage: Bacteria; Pseudomonadati; Pseudomonadota; Alphaproteobacteria; Holosporales; Candidatus Paracaedibacteraceae.
GCCGUAGUGGCUCAGUGGUAGAGCACACCCUUGGUAAGGGUGAGGUCGAGGGUUCGAUUCCCCCCUACGGCACCA